CUGGGCCGGGCGUGGCGGCUGGAGCUGGGUCCCGCCCGCGCCUCCUUCGAGCUGCCCAAAACCCCAAACCAGCCCCAAAAACCCCCAAAACAGCCCGUAAAAAAUCCCAAAAAAUCCCAAAAAAACCCCGGAACAUCCCGGAACAUUCCGGAACAUUCCCAGCUGGAGCUGUCCUGUCUGGGCCGGGCAUGGCGGCUGGAGCUGGGUCCCGCCCGCGCCUCCUUCGAGCUGCCCAAAACCCCAAACCAGCCCCAAAAACCCCCAAAACACCCUGUAAAAAAUCCCAAAAAAUCCCAAAAAAACCCCGGAACAUCCCGGAACAUUCCGGAACAUUCCCAGCUGGAGCUGUGGUCUCUGGGCCGGGCGUGGCGGCUGGAGCUGGGUCCCGCCCGCGCCUCCUUCGAGCUGCCCGGCCUCUCGUGCUCCGGGCUCCGGGUCCGGCUCCUGCGGCUCUCGGGGGCGGCGGCGCAGCGCUGGCUGCGGCACCUGAGCCACGGCCGCGACUACGAGAUGAGACUCUGAGAAUUCCAGAGAAAUCCCGGGAAUUCCCGGAAUUCCGGAGCUCCGGAGACAUCCCACGGCCGCGACUACGAGAUGAGACUGUGAGAAUUCCAGAGAAAUCCCGGGAAAUCCCGGAAUUCCGGAGCUCCAGAGACAUCCCACGGCCGCGACUACGAGAUGAGGCUCUGAGAAUUCCAGAGAAAAUCCCAAAAAUCCCGGAAUUCCGGAGCUCCAGAGCUCCAGAGACAUCCCACGGCCGCCACUACGAGAUGAGACUGUGAGAAUUCCAGAGAAAAUCCCAAAAAUCCCGGAAUUCCGGAGACAUCCCACGGCCAUGACUGCGAGAUGAGGCUCUGAGAAUUCCCGAGAAAUUCCCAGGAAAUUCCCAAAUAAACAGCCCAGAACGAAGGAGUUGCUGCA
Molecule: long non-coding RNA, 921 nt
Filed under: Lonchura striata (white-rumped munia)
Lineage: Eukaryota; Metazoa; Chordata; Aves; Passeriformes; Estrildidae
Description: domestica (Bengalese finch) lncRNA (ENSLSDG00000001726.1)
Source: RNAcentral